CAAGUUCCCCGGGAGGGAAAGUUGCAAAGCACUUUGAAGAGAGAGUUAAAGAGGACGUGAAACCGGUGAGGUGGAAACGGAUAGAGCCAGCGUAUCGGGCCAGCAUUCAUCUGCGAGGUCGGCGCGCGCCCCUGCUUCGCUCUCCAGAUUGGGACGGAGUGGGGGUUGUACCCGGCCGAGCGGUGCAUUUGUUGGCGAGUGCGCCGAGCUGCCCGGGGCGGCGGUGUGAACCUGCUUUUGCGGCCAGCUUGCUGGAACCCGAGGUGGGCUAGCGCUGUUCGUUCUGGGUUCAUUCCCUGGGGCAUGGCUUACGGGCGCCGAUGGGUGCCGAGCCGGUGGUCGGUGGCGGUCGCGUGCGACACGUGCCGCACUCGCAGGUUCGGUCCUGCCGGUGCUCCCAUGCCCGCGCUCGGUGUAAGAGCUGGUCAUCUAUCCGACCCGUCUUGAAACACGGACCAAGGAGUUUAUCGUGUGCGCAAGCCAUUGGGCUCAGAAACCCAAAGGCGCAAUGAAAGUGAACAAUGUCCUCGCAAGAGGCAGACGUGCGAUCCCCGGCGCCUCGGUGCCGGGGCGCAGCAUGGCCCCAUCCCGACUGCUUGCAGUGGGGUGGCGGAAGAGCGUGCGCGGUGAGACCCGAAAGAUGGUGAACUAUUCCUGAGCAGGAUGAAGCCAGAGGAAACUCUGGUGGAAGUCCGAAGCGAUUCUGACGUGCAAAUCGAUCGUCUGACUUGGGUAUAGGGGCGAAAGACUAAUCGAACCAUCUAGUAGCUGGUUUCCCUUCCGA
RNAcentral lists this ribosomal RNA (784 nucleotides) under Pratylenchus neglectus. Its description in RNAcentral is "eukaryotic LSU rRNA". It matches the Rfam family "Eukaryotic large subunit ribosomal RNA", at positions 345 to 964 of the family's 3401-position model. The record is from RNAcentral. Lineage: Eukaryota; Metazoa; Nematoda; Chromadorea; Rhabditida; Pratylenchidae.